This is a long non-coding RNA of Limulus polyphemus (Atlantic horseshoe crab), 514 nucleotides long. RefSeq lists it as uncharacterized. NCBI's taxonomy places the organism in Eukaryota, Metazoa, Arthropoda, Merostomata, Xiphosura, Limulidae. The transcript has 3 exons. The record is from RefSeq and is a predicted model, not a curated record.
UUUAAUUUUAAGUGAAAAUAUUUAAUGAAAAUUAUUAACAUUUUGAAGUUUGAAACGUCUUUUUUUCCUAGAUUAACAGCAGUUACUGAUUAAUUAAGGCAUUCAAACAAGAUGGCUCUUGUCCUAAGGGAAGACACUAGGUCAGUGAAUAGCAUUGAAGUGAUUCUAACAAGAGGAUCCAGGAUUGAAUCCCAGCCAUUACAGUUAGAAGAAAGAUUUCUCGUCAGGACUUAACUGAAUACAACAUAACAUUAGAGGACAACAAAGGACAUUUGGGUUCAUAUAUCCACUAAAUUAAACACUUAAACAUUUAUCAAGUUUUGUCUUCAACUUUAUUAAAUUAAUUGUAUCUACUAUAUCUGUACCAACUACUCUUUAAGAAACAUAUAGCCCAGGAUGACUCCUACUUUACCAAAAAUACCAAAGGAACUGGAGAAAAGACCAGAAUGGAUCUAGAUGAUAUAACGGGAAUACUGGCAGCCGUCGAACUCUGACUGUUUGGUUUGUUAAAGGU